CGGGUGAGUAAUGCGUGACCAACCUCGCCCCAUGCUCCAGAAUAGCUCUUGGAAACGGGUGGUAAUGCUGGAUGCUCCAACUUGACGCAUGUCUUGUUGGGAAAGUGUUUAGUGGCAUGGGAUGGGGUCGCGUCCUAUCAGCUUGUAGGCGGGGUAAUGGCCCACCUAGGCUUCGACGGGUAGCCGGCCUGAGAGGGCGGACGGCCACAUUGGGACUGAGAUACGGCCCCAGACUCCUACGGGAGGCAGCAGAG
Molecule: ribosomal RNA, 254 nt
Filed under: uncultured Gardnerella sp.
Lineage: Bacteria; Bacillati; Actinomycetota; Actinomycetes; Bifidobacteriales; Bifidobacteriaceae
Description: partial 16S ribosomal RNA
Rfam family: Bacterial small subunit ribosomal RNA
Source: RNAcentral